This 253-nucleotide ribosomal RNA is filed under the name uncultured bacterium. Its description in RNAcentral is "partial 16S ribosomal RNA". It matches the Rfam family "Bacterial small subunit ribosomal RNA", at positions 524 to 776 of the family's 1533-position model. The record is from RNAcentral.
UACGUAGGGGGCAAGCGUUGUCCGGAAUUAUUGGGCGUAAAGAGCGCGUAGGCGGUCCGGUAAGUCGGUUGUGAAAGUCGGGGGCUCAACCCUCGGAUGCCGAUCGAUACUGUCGGGCUAGAGUCCGGAAGAGGCGAGUGGAAUUCCUGGUGUAGCGGUGAAAUGCGCAGAUAUCAGGAGGAACACCAAUGGCGAAGGCAGCUCGCUGGGACGGUACUGACGCUGAGGAGCGAAAGCGUGGGGAGCGAACAGG